This is a long non-coding RNA of Macrosteles quadrilineatus (aster leafhopper), 280 nucleotides long. RefSeq lists it as uncharacterized. The transcript has 3 exons. The record is from RefSeq and is a predicted model, not a curated record. NCBI's taxonomy places the organism in Eukaryota, Metazoa, Arthropoda, Insecta, Hemiptera, Cicadellidae.
GAAAAUCUCACAGCAAGUAAUUCAACUACUUCCAAGUAUGAACUUCCCGCUUCGAGAAGCUGUUAAUAUCAGCUGUCUUUUUAUCAUUUGCAGGAAUAUCACCGUGGUGUGCUGCUGUCUGCCAAUCGUACCAAAAGCAUAGCAUGGGAUUUAACACAGCUGUAUAUUCUGCCCCACGUCAGGCUCCUUGAACAGUUUUGUCCCUUAAGGAAUAUCACAGUGGUGUGCUGGUGUCUGCCAAUCAAAAGUGUAGCAUGGGAUUUAAUGCAGCUGGAUUCUG